Molecule: long non-coding RNA, 2122 nt
Organism: Astatotilapia calliptera (eastern happy)
Lineage: Eukaryota; Metazoa; Chordata; Actinopteri; Cichliformes; Cichlidae
Source: Ensembl
ACAAACUAGUACAAAGAUACCGGGUGAAGUAUUUUGGUUUUUGAUUGAAUCACAGGUCUCCGGACCGUGCUCUCUCGGGCUCCGUGCUUAUGUGUUUAAAAAUCUCUUAAACCAUAUUAAAAUUGUUUAGUUAAACUUGUGCUUUUGUAACGUUCAGUAUGGCCGGAAAUACAGGCUGCAUGCCUUGGGGCAAAACUUUAUUUCGAUUUAUAUGCAUUUGUAGAUUUAGAAUAAAACUCAUACUCAGAAAAAAACUCUCGCGAUCCCCGCAGCCCCCUUAACCUAAUCCUUAGAAACAUAAGCAGGGAAAACUCCUUAAAAACUCCUCCGCGAUUUCCCCAAAAACCCUAGAAUAACUUGUUAGCUACCCUCUAUUCCCAAAAGCCUUAUAAUCCAAAACAGGGGGAAAACUCCUUAGUCUUUUUUCUUCAAAAACUUCCCUCUUACUAGCAACCUCUAAAAUUCAACGCACAGUCUAAGUUCUACCUCGCUCUUAAUCGCCGACCCUUCCAGAGCAGAGCACAAUUUUUUCCUCCUUGUUCGUUCCCCGCUCUGCUCCUAAAUGCGCUGCUUACAUCGUUUGAAAAUUUUCCGCCAGAGACCAACUCCCCCUCACUUCGCCCCCUGCCAAUCACAUAACAAAUCGCACAGCUCCCUUCGCACCCCGGUUAGCCAAUCGGCUCCAGGUCUGAUUUUACGAUCUCCCGCUGAGGUUAAGACUGCCGUCGAGCUCCCAGAAGACCUCUGACUUGAGACGUAUCAACAACUGGCGCCGCUCAGACUGCUUGCGGGCUCGCAACAGCCACGAAAACAGGGAUCGACAACAACUGCCUUCGCAUGCCCUAUGUGCAAAUCAGUCGGUAAGUGUUAAUCUUCCCCCGUCUAACUACAUUUUCGCAUUUUCCUUUUUACCAUUCUCUCAAAAGCUUUUUCAUCUUCAAAAACCAUGCAAAAUAGCUUCUGUAACACUUGGAAUACACUUUUUAAAAAUAUAAAUAAGCUCGCCUCUAACACUCAGAGCUAAAAAGUGCGUUUGUACACUAAACUGUAGCAGCGAUCAUGUCCUCAUCAGGUACCUCAUUUUUCUCACUCUUGUUCAUAUAAUGUUUAUAUUUUACUGUUUUUCCCCGCUUGUAAAUACUCGUUGUUAUUUCUUUUCAGACUCUGAGAUAAGCGAGCUCAAUUCCUCUCUUUUUGGUUCUCUCGAUCGAGUUGACUUGGACAGCUUUAUUUUUUUCGAGUUCGCCGAAUUCUUCUCCACCAGUGCUUGAGCGAUCCACAGGCAAGAAUAUUCGUCUUUCAACACAGGACAGACUGCAUCUGCUCUCUAUGCUAGAUCGCCCCGCUUCAUCCGGCCCCAGUUCCAUCCCCGUCGGAGCUUGUUCUCUCCAGCGACCCUCUGGGAAAAACUUGCGCCUGGCCGCCGGGGACAGGCAAAACUCGCUCUCCGAUCUCACUCCGGAUGCUCCGGCCAAUCGGAGCCCCAGAAACGCUUCUUCUUCUCCGCCAUCACACACACGAAAUGCACCGCGCCUGCCUUUGAGACCCAAUCACGGUCAGUCUCUCUAGGUUCUCGCUUUUUCUCAUUUUAUAAAAACUAUCCCUUUUCUAUUUAACUUUACUAACUGUUUGUAUCUUACCCUCAAAUUCUCAGGGCAUCUCAGAAGGAGGAAUAGCAGGACCGGUAGGAUCGCAAGGACAACGAGGACAACGAGGACAAGGCGAACACGCACACGAAGGCAGCUCGCUUCAAUUGCUCUUCGUGCGGUAUCUCUGUUCGCUGAAUUAGUUCAGCUCAUCUUAUAAAAAGUUUGUGUUUUUUUUUUUCAUUUUGUUUUUUCAAACAAACUGUCUUUUGUGGUUUUUUGUUCUUUUAAUAUAUUCCUGUUAAGCAAUAAUAAUAAAAAAUGGAUAACCAGGAACAAGAUAUUACAGACCCAUUUCUUGCUUUAGAAACAGCGUUAGCUAGGUUAAAUGAAAAUACACAGCUCAGGAGGGCGAAGCUGGAGCUGCCCGCACCAGGUAAAGAGGACGAGUUUCCCAAGAAGCCUCUAGGGCAGCUUCCUCCUGAGAUAGCCGCAGCAAACCACGUGGCCAACAGUCAAAGCCACGCGGAGCCAGC